This 496-nucleotide ribosomal RNA is filed under the name uncultured bacterium. RNAcentral describes it as "partial 16S ribosomal RNA". It matches the Rfam family "Bacterial small subunit ribosomal RNA", at positions 28 to 506 of the family's 1533-position model. The record is from RNAcentral.
GAUGAACGCUGGCGGCGUGCCUAAUACAUGCAAGUCGAGCGAACGGACGAGAAGCUUGCUUUUCUGAUGUUAGCGGCGGACGGGUGAGUAACACGUGGAUAACCUACCUAUAAGACUGGGAUAACUUCGGGAAACCGGAGCUAAUACCGGAUAAUAUUUUGAACCGCAUGGUUCAAAAGUGAAAGACGGUCUUGCUGUCACUUAUAGAUGGAUCCGCGCUGCAUUAGCUAGUUGGUAAGGUAACGGCUUACCAAGGCAACGAUGCAUAGCCGACCUGAGAGGGUGAUCGGCCACACUGGAACUGAGACACGGCCCAGACUCCUACGGGAGGCAGCAGUAGGGAAUCUUCCGCAAUGGGCGAAAGCCUGACGGAGCAACGCCGCGUGAGUGAUGAAGGUCUGCGGAUCGUAAAACGCUGUUAUUAGGGAAGAACAUAUGUGUAAGUAACUGUGCACAUCUUGACGGUACCUAAUCAGAAAGCCACGGCUAACUACGU